UACGGAGGGUGCAAGCGUUAUCCGGAUUCACUGGGUUUAAAGGGUGCGUAGGCGGGUUGGGAAGUCCGUGGUGAAAUCUCCAAGCUUAACUUGGAAACUGCCGUGGAUACUAUCAAUCUUGAAUAUCGUGGAGGUGAGCGGAAUAUGUCAUGUAGCGGUGAAAUGCUUAGAUAUGACAUAGAACACCCAUUGCGAAGGCAGCUCGCUACACGGUUAUUGACGCUGAGGCACGAAAGCGUGGGGAUCAAACAGG
This 253-nucleotide ribosomal RNA is filed under the name uncultured bacterium. Its description in RNAcentral is "partial 16S ribosomal RNA". It matches the Rfam family "Bacterial small subunit ribosomal RNA", at positions 524 to 776 of the family's 1533-position model. The record is from RNAcentral.